This is a long non-coding RNA of Sinocyclocheilus grahami, 193 nucleotides long. RefSeq lists it as uncharacterized. The record is from RefSeq and is a predicted model, not a curated record. NCBI's taxonomy places the organism in Eukaryota, Metazoa, Chordata, Actinopteri, Cypriniformes, Cyprinidae. The transcript has 3 exons.
CUUCCGGUCCUUGCACAUUAUUUCCUUUUUGAUUAAUGGCGGCCGACCACGAGGAGAGGACGGUGUUCAAACAGAUAACGCAACAGACCACCGACAGCAUCUCGAGGCCAUUGAGCUGCACCACUUGUUAGCAAGCAAAUUGAGCUUUCAUGUUCAUCAAGGCGUGAAGACAUUUGUAAAACUGCACAGCGAU